RNAcentral lists this long non-coding RNA (2635 nucleotides) under Homo sapiens (human). Its description in RNAcentral is "HSALNT0298286". The record is from RNAcentral. Lineage: Eukaryota; Metazoa; Chordata; Mammalia; Primates; Hominidae.
AAUACUUUGGGGUCAAGUUUGAGGCAGUUGUAACUGUACUGAGUUUAGUUUUGCUAAUAAUGGUAUUCUACGUGUGUCAGCCUCGUGUGGACUUCUGUAAUGACUAAUGGAUAUGUUUAUAUCCUGAGCAUUUGCUGUAGGAAUUUUAAAUGCAAUCCCAAAACUCAAGAUUACCUUAUUUGGAGAAAUAUUCGUGUUACUAUGUUUAAAAUUUAAUAGAACCAUAUUUUACCUUUCACUUUGGGACUCGCACAGGAUGUUUGCAGCUCUUGAUAUACAGGAACUAGAACGUGUCUUUUAAGAGCAUGCGGUUUUAUAAUUACGUGGAAGUAUGCUACGCAAGGGAAAAAAGCCUCUUGCUAGUGUUAAGGGUCUUCAUAAACAGAAACCGCAAGGAACCUGGGAUCUGACAGCUGUUGGAGGAAUGCCUGUGAGGAAGGAGGAGGAACAGAAGAAUGCUUUGAUGUCUUAAAUGGUACAUCCAAACUUAAGUGAAAUAGAGCUGUGAGGACAUUUUGGGGAGAAGUGACCUAGAUAAGCACUGACUGUUGCAUUCAUCUCUCUUCUUGCUGAUUGUGAUGAUUUCCUGUGCCAUAGCCAUUCAAAGUCUGCCAAAAAAGGAACACCAAAUUAAACAACUGUCUACACAAGAAAAAGUCUUCACAGGAACCAAAAAUCAGAUGAGUGAUCAUUGUACAUAGUUUUGACAUCAUAUCAAGGAAAGAGGCACUGAAGAGGGUAGGAAAGACAAUCUCGAACAGCCAACACCACCCCAACUCCAUCCAUCAGCAGCAGCUAUAUGGAAUGGAGAGAGAAUAUGUGUGCUUGCAGGAGAGACAGCUCAGUGAUUGUGGGACUUUGCAUUGGAAUUCAGUUCUGCCUGCCACAGUGGAAAGCAACAUGUGCAGAACUCAACCAGCAACCACAGAGGGAACAUUUAGACCAGCCAUAGCCAAAGGAAAAUAAUCCAUGCCAGCGUUUGGAACCUAGGUUCCUGCUAUUACCACCACUGCAGGCUAACGCUCUCUGGGGUCCUAAAUAAACUUGAAAAGCAGUCUAGGCCCCAAGGACUGCAAUUCCUGUGCAAGUUUUGGUGCUGUGCUGGGCUCAGAGCCAGUGAACUUGGGGUGCACACAACCUAGUAAGACACCAGCUAGGGUGGCUAAGGGAGUGCUUGUGUCACCCUCCCACAGCCCCAGGAAGCGCAGCUCACAGCUCCUUCUUCCCACUUGAAGAGAGAAGAGGGAAGAGAGUAAAGAGGACAUUGUCUUGCAACUUGGAUACCAGCUCAACUACAGUAUAAUAGGCCACCAGACAAAUUCCUGAGGCCCCUAUUUUAGGCCCUAACUUCCAAAUGACAUUUCUAGACACACCCUGGGCCAGAAAGGAACCCUCUGCAUUGAAGGGAAAGACCCUGUACUUGCAGGAUACAUCACCUGCUGACUAAACAGCAUUUGAGCCUUGAAAAAACAUGAGUGGUAACAAGGAAGUACUCACCACAGGCCUUGGGUGACACCCAAUGCUGUGUUGGUUUCAGGUGUGACCUAGUAUAUUCCCAGCUGUGGUGGCCACGCAGAGAGACUCCUGCUUGAGGAAAGGAGAGGGAAGAGUAAAGACGAGUUUGUCUUGCAUCUUGGGUAUCAGGUCAGUAAAAAACAAACAAACAAAAAAAACAACGGGCUUCUUUUGUUCCAGGCCUUGCCUCCUGGAUGGCAUUUUUGAACCCACCCUGGGCCAGAGGGGAGCCCACUUCUUUGAAGACAGAAACACAGGACUGGCAACAUUUACCAUAAGCUGACUGAGCAGCCAUUGGGCCUUGAGUGAACAUUGGUGGUAGCCAGGCAGUACUUGUCUCAGUACUUGCCUCAGGCCUGGGGUGUCGGUGACCACAGGGAGAGCAUCCAUCUGCUUGAGGAAAGGAGAACAAAGAAAAUAAAGGGCUUAAUCUUGCACUUGAUUGCCAGCUCAGCCAUAGUAGAAUACAGCACCAAGUAAAUUCCUAAGGAUCCUGAUUCCAGGUCCUGGCUCCCAGAUGACAUUUUAGGACUUGUCUUGGGCUUAGGGGGAGCUCGUCAUACUGAAGGGAAAAACACAAGCCUGGCUGGAUUUGCCACCAGCUGAAUAAAGAGUGCUUGGGCCUUGAGUGAACAUUGGCAAUAGCCAAGGAGUGGUCACCAUGGACCUUAGGCAAGAAACCCGGUGCCGUGCUGGCUUUGGAUCUGACCCAGCAUAAUCUCACUGGUAUUUUACUUCUUGUCCAUUUACUUUUUAGUUUAUCAUACACACCAUGUUUACUAGUACUAAAACUGUCUUAAAAUAUUGCAAUUUUGACCCUUUUUCUAAUUGACCUUUAUGUUUUUACAAGCACAUUUUAUUACAUAUGAAUGAGACUUUACUAUGUUAUAUGUAACUCUUAAUUCUGUAAAUAAUAGAUUGCUUAUCUGAAAUAUAGCUGAUAUUUGUUUCUUAAUUAUUUGGCUAUUCCCUAUAUGUUAUACUCUACUAAAGAUCAUGGGAUUUAGAUUCAGAAAACUUACUUCCUAGCUCUUAUUAUUUCUGUGAUCUUGCAAAAGAAAACAAAAAUGAACCAUUGUUUUUUUAUCUGUAACAGGAAAUGUACUUCACAGGAUUGUAA